UUGAGGCACGAAUUUCUGGGAUACAUGAACAGUAUGACAAACCAGUUUCACGAGUUACUAUACCGUGUUAACUCCUUUGCUCCUCCGGCCAGAGAUCGUGCAGAUGGAUAGAAUUUAUUUUUCUUAGUUAUUUAGUCUUAAGUUAGAUUAUUUAUUUAAUGUUAUUUCAAAUUAUGUUCGUAUUUGUUUCUCUUUCGCAUUUUUGUUUUUCUCCAUUGUUACAUUAUGAUUAUUUUAUUGAAGCUAUUUAUUCAUUUUAUUAUGUAAUAUCUAUUAUGCUCUCUACUGUUGCUGCCUACAUGACUUAUUAAAGAACAAUAUAUUUAUGCAUCAUUAUGCAAAGUAGAAUGACAUGCAGGAAAAUUAAAUAGCAAAAUAAAAUAAUCUGAAGCAAAAC
RNAcentral lists this long non-coding RNA (397 nucleotides) under Lathyrus oleraceus (garden pea). RNAcentral describes it as "Pisum sativum (pea) long non-coding RNA (PSAT_LNC036182)". The record is from RNAcentral. Lineage: Eukaryota; Viridiplantae; Streptophyta; Magnoliopsida; Fabales; Fabaceae.